CGGGAAAAGCUCAAAUUUAAAAUCUAGCAGUUUUUGACUGUUUGAGUUGUAAUCUAGAGAAGUGCUUUCUGUGCUGGACCGUGUAUAAGUCUCUUGGAAUAGAGCGUCGUAGAGGGUGAGAAUCCCGUCUUUGACAUGGAUAACCAGUGCUAUGUGAUGCACUUUCAAA
This 169-nucleotide ribosomal RNA is filed under the name Polyporaceae sp. RNAcentral describes it as "partial large subunit ribosomal RNA". It matches the Rfam family "Eukaryotic large subunit ribosomal RNA", at positions 99 to 261 of the family's 3401-position model. Lineage: Eukaryota; Fungi; Basidiomycota; Agaricomycetes; Polyporales; Polyporaceae. The record is from RNAcentral.